This is a long non-coding RNA of Myzus persicae (green peach aphid), 1207 nucleotides long. RefSeq lists it as uncharacterized. The transcript has 2 exons. The record is from RefSeq and is a predicted model, not a curated record. Lineage: Eukaryota; Metazoa; Arthropoda; Insecta; Hemiptera; Aphididae.
GUUCCCCUCCACGUCGCGCUUGCUCGCACACUCUUCCAAAAACCGAGUACCCCCCUUCCUAAACCCGACGGUGGCAUAGAAAAAAAAGGCGCGUUUUCUACAAUUUUUUUCCACGCCGCCCGCGUAGUGUAACGUAUCCGCGUAUACGGUUAGCCCGUUCGUUGUUGUUAUUGUUUGUUUUCGGAAAAAUAAUUUCCCACUGCACGUCGUUAUCUCCGUGGUAUUACAAACUUGGCUUUUACGCCGCCGCGGGCCAGCUGUCCGCGAUACCUCCUGCGGCCGCGCGCCGUGGGUGACGUCGACGGUCCGCCGCUCCCGUAAUUCAUCAACGUACAAACGCCGUGCGGGGAAGGGGGAAUACGCGCGACCGUAUUAUUAUUAUUAUUAUUAUUUUAUUAUUCCACACCGUCCGUGUGCGUAUGUGUACUCGUAACGAACAAUCCGAUUUAUUCAUAAUAUUAUUUUAUUCGGCAUGCCGCGCGCAGUGUUGCCAAGCCGACGUGACGACAAAACGUACAAUAAACCGCUGCAGUCGUCGCGUCGCGGGGUGUGGGUGUACUAUAUAUUUAGUAGUAAUAAUAUUAUAGUAAAUAGAGUUGUAGUGGUAGUAAUUAUAGUAGUAGUAUCUUGUAGUAACCUGUACGUUCAGACCGUUCUGUAGUAAUAGUAUUUUGUAGUAACCAGUAGUGAGUAGUACUAUCUCCGAUUAUGUUCAACGUUAUGUGUUACAAGGUAACGGUAUUCCGACGACCAAAACGUGUCAUCAGUAAUUACUGUCGUUUGUGCGCUCACGAAACGCGUUGUGAGUUGAAGACGUUACCAGCGGCAUAUAGGCAUGUUCUAUCGAUAGCCCAUAGGGCCUAGGCACUACUUUUAUUUUAAUGAGUUUUAUUGAAAAACUCAUAGGUAUAUUCUAUAAAAAAAAGUUUUCCACCAAUUUGUUAGGGAAAUGUAAAUGUAUUUUCUACAGUUUCUAAAUAUUGUUUUUCAAACCGUUACAAACUGCAAUAAUUUUUCUACGUCUAGAGAAGAAUACCUGCGUAAAAUGAUCUAGACUGGCGAUCAUGUCUGGGUUAUUUAGUCUCGGUAUCGCUAGCAUAUUAACAACAAUCGAUAUUGCAACAGGCGGUGGGCGAAGCUUGCACAUAAUAAUUAACAACUAACCGUGUUCUAUUUCAAAGUCGUGAUGGAUUUAUAUGUUUCUCAA